Molecule: ribosomal RNA, 428 nt
Filed under: Gemmatimonadota bacterium
Lineage: Bacteria; Pseudomonadati; Gemmatimonadota
Description: Gemmatimonadetes bacterium partial 16S ribosomal RNA
Rfam family: Bacterial small subunit ribosomal RNA
Source: RNAcentral
UAGGGAAUCUUCGGCAAUGGACGAAAGUCUGACCGAGCAACGCCGCGUGAGUGAAGAAGGUUUUCGGAUCGUAAAACUCUGUUGUUAGAGAAGAACAAGGACGUUAGUAACUGAACGUCCCCUGACGGUAUCUAACCAGAAAGCCACGGCUAACUACGUGCCAGCAGCCGCGGUAAUACGUAGGUGGCAAGCGUUGUCCGGAUUUAUUGGGCGUAAAGCGAGCGCAGCGGUUUCUUAAGUCUGAUGUGAAAGCCCCCGGCUCAACCGGGGAGGGUCAUUGGAAACUGGGAGACUUGAGUGCAGAAGAGGAGAGUGGAAUUCCAUGUGUAGCGGUGAAAUGCGUAGAUAUAUGGAGGAACACCAGUGGCGAAGGCGGCUCUCUGAUCUGUAACUGACGCUGAGGCUCGAAAGCGUGGGGAGCAAACAGG